This 326-nucleotide ribosomal RNA is filed under the name uncultured Pseudomonadota bacterium. RNAcentral's name for it is "bacterial SSU rRNA". It matches the Rfam family "Bacterial small subunit ribosomal RNA", at positions 132 to 491 of the family's 1533-position model. Lineage: Bacteria; Pseudomonadati; Pseudomonadota. The record is from RNAcentral.
UAUGGUUUGGAAUAACACGAGGAAACUUGUGCUAAUACCAAAUAAGUCUUUACGGAGAAAGCUUUAUGCGCCAUUGGAUGAGCCUGCACUUGAUUAGUUUGUUGGUGGGGUAAUGGCCUACCAAGACAAUGAUCAAUAGCUGAUUUGAGAGGAUGAUCAGCCACAUUGGGACUGAGACACGGCCCAAACUCCUACGGGAGGCAGCAGUGGGGAAUCUUGCACAAUGGGGGAAACCCUGAUGCAGCGAUGCCGCGUGAGUGAAGAAGGCCUUUGGGUUGUAAAGCUCUUUCGUCGGGGAAGAAAAUGACUGUACCCGAAUAAGAAGG